UACGUAGGGUGCAAGCGUUAAUCGGAAUUACUGGGCGUAAAGCGUGCGCAGGCGGUUUUGUAAGUCUGACGUGAAAUCCCCGGGCUCAACCUGGGAACUGCAUUUGUGACUGCAUUGCUGGAGUGCGGCAGAGGGGGAUGGAAUUCCGCGUGUAGCAGUGAAAUGCGUAGAUAUGCGGAGGAACACCGAUGGCGAAGGCAAUCCCCUGGGCCUGCACUGACGCUCAUGCACGAAAGCGUGGGGAGCAAACAGG
RNAcentral lists this ribosomal RNA (253 nucleotides) under uncultured bacterium. Its description in RNAcentral is "partial 16S ribosomal RNA". It matches the Rfam family "Bacterial small subunit ribosomal RNA", at positions 524 to 776 of the family's 1533-position model. The record is from RNAcentral.